This is a long non-coding RNA of Suricata suricatta (meerkat), 832 nucleotides long. RefSeq lists it as uncharacterized. The transcript is spliced from 4 exons. NCBI's taxonomy places the organism in Eukaryota, Metazoa, Chordata, Mammalia, Carnivora, Herpestidae. The record is from RefSeq and is a predicted model, not a curated record.
CCCUCUCGCUCGGGCUGCGUUAGAAGCGCGGGGAGGGAAGCCCAGAGGGAAGCCGGUAGGCUCGCGGCUUGGCUGGUGCAUGCCGGCGUUGUCGUUCAUCAGUUCGCGUAGUCCUCACAACAGCCCUGGGCCUUACAGACCCUUACUGUCAUUCUUCAUAGAUAAAGAAAUCUCUGUCCAUUGAAAUGGUCUAAAAGGAAACAGAAUCCAGAUUCUACUCCCCCUAAAAGGAAUAGGCUCUUGGAAGAGAUAGCUGAUAUUCCAAGUUUGGGACAGCACAAGUACAAGGAGAGAAAGACAGUGAACGGAGGAGGAUCAGAGAGAGAGAGGGAGACAGAGAAUCCAAAGCAGGCUCCUCAGUGUCAGCAAAAAGCCCGACAAGAGGCUCAACCCACAAAGAGAUCAUGAGUUGCCUGAACAGAAGUCGACACUCAACCAACUAAGCCACCCAGAUUUUCUCAAAGUAAACCCCAGCAAAGCCACUUGAGAAACAUGCUGUGAGAACUGCCAUGAGGCCUACAAGUUGAGAGCCGGCUGAAAGUUCCUUAGAAUCCAGCUCCUGAGAAUCGGAGGGCCACUGAACAAGAAGACAAAUGGAACUGGAGUUUACUCUUACAAUACUUUACAAAGCACAUAUUGAGAGUGCACUCUCAGACCUUAAGAUAAAAAUAUACCCAACACCAUUCUUGGGGAUUGCAGAGGAGAGCUUUUGGAAGAAAAUCUUAUAAUCAUUUUAUUUUUUUCCCAUAGUGAUAUUACUGUUACAACUUACAAUUUCAAAAAACUCCCUAAAAAAGAGAAAGAGAAUGAAUAAAUGCACAGAUGCACAAAA